This 145-nucleotide non-coding RNA is filed under the name Bradyrhizobium manausense. RNAcentral's name for it is "TPP sequence". It matches the Rfam family "TPP riboswitch aptamer (THI element)". Rfam says of the family: Vitamin B(1) in its active form thiamin pyrophosphate (TPP) is an essential coenzyme that is synthesised by coupling of pyrimidine and thiazole moieties in bacteria. The previously detected thiamin-regulatory element, thi box was extended, resulting in a new, highly conserved RNA secondary structure, the THI element, which is widely distributed in eubacteria and also occurs in some archaea. The record is from RNAcentral. Lineage: Bacteria; Pseudomonadati; Pseudomonadota; Alphaproteobacteria; Hyphomicrobiales; Nitrobacteraceae.
AGCCGUUCCGAGGGGUGCUCCGAGGAGGAGCUGAGAUACCGCUAAAUGGGCAAGCCUGCACUUCGGCAAGCACGCCCAGGACCGCGGUGACCCUUUGAACCUGAUCCGGGUCAUGCCGGCGAAGGGACAGGGAUGUUGCAGACGA